UACGAAGGGGGCUAGCGUUGCUCGGAAUGACUGGGCGUAAAGGGCGCGUAGGCGGUUCAUUCAGUCCGUUGUGAAAUUCCCGGGCUUAACCGGGGGGCUGCAUUUGAUACGUGUGGGCUUGAGUGAGGAAGAGGGUUGUGGAAUUCCCAGUGUAGAGGUGAAAUUCGUAGAUAUUGGGAAGAACACCGGUGGCGAAGGCGGCAACCUGGUCCUUUACUGACGCUGAGGCGCGAAAGCGUGGGGAGCAAACAGG
RNAcentral lists this ribosomal RNA (253 nucleotides) under uncultured bacterium. Its description in RNAcentral is "partial 16S ribosomal RNA". It matches the Rfam family "Bacterial small subunit ribosomal RNA", at positions 524 to 776 of the family's 1533-position model. The record is from RNAcentral.